Molecule: ribosomal RNA, 486 nt
Filed under: uncultured bacterium
Lineage: Bacteria
Description: partial 16S ribosomal RNA
Rfam family: Bacterial small subunit ribosomal RNA
Source: RNAcentral
AUUGAACGCUGGCGGCAUGCCUUACACAUGCAAGUCGAACGGCAGCACGGGUGCUUGCCCCUGGUGGCGAGUGGCGAACGGGUGAGUAAUACAUCGGAACAUGUCCUGUAGUGGGGGAUAGCCCGGCGAAAGCCGGAUUACUACCGCAUACGAUCUACUGAUGCCAGCGGGGGACCUUCGGACCUCGCGCUAUAGGGUUGGCCGAUGGCUGAUUAGCUAGUUGGUGGGGUAAAGGCCUACCAAGGCGACGAUCAGUAGCUGGUCUGAGAGGACGACCAGCCACACUGGGACUGAGACACGGCCCAGACUCCUACGGGAGGCAGCAGUGGGGAAUUUUGGACAAUGGGCGAAAGCCUGAUGCAGCAAUGCCGCGUGUGUGAAGAAGGCCUUCGGGUUGUAAAGCACUUUUGUCCGGAAAGAAAUCCUUGGCUCUAAUACAGUCGGGGGAUGACGGUACCGGAAGAAUAAGCACCGGCUAACUACGUG